AACGAACGCUGGCGGCAUGCCUAACACAUGCAAGUCGAACGAUCCCUUCGGGGAUAGUGGCGCACGGGUGCGUAACGCGUGGGAACCUGCCCUUAGGUUCGGAAUAACUCAGAGAAAUUUGAGCUAAUACCGGAUAAUGUCUUCGGACCAAAGAUUUAUCGCCUUUGGAUGGGCCCGCGUUGGAUUAGCUAGUUGGUGGGGUAAAGGCCUACCAAGGCGACGAUCCAUAGCUGGUCUGAGAGGAUGAUCAGCCACACUGGGACUGAGACACGGCCCAGACUCCUACGGGAGGCAGCAGUGGGGAAUAUUGAACAAUGGGCGAAAGCCUGAUCCAGCAAUGCCGCGUGAGUGAUGAAGGCCUUAGGGUUGUAAAGCUCUUUUACCCGGGAUGAUAAUGACAGUACCGGGAGAAUAAGCCCCGGCUAACUCCGUG
Molecule: ribosomal RNA, 433 nt
Filed under: uncultured bacterium
Lineage: Bacteria
Description: partial 16S ribosomal RNA
Rfam family: Bacterial small subunit ribosomal RNA
Source: RNAcentral